UAAGAACUUGCACGUUGAAGAGGAUGUCGAUGGUGUCGACGGCGGCGACAACGACGACGGCGGUGGAAGUGUCGGCUACAACAACAGCAGCAGUGGUGGUGUCGGUAGCGGCGGCAGCGGCAUCGUUACAAGCGACGGUGGUGGUGGCGACGGCGGCUUCGGCUUCGUCUACGGCGGCGGCGGCGGCGGCUUCGUCUUCGGCGGCGGCGGCGGCGUGCUGCCUGUAGUAUAUACUACUAGUGUGUUGUAUAUGUGAAAGCUUUAUUAUACUGUGUAUAGCGAUCAUCGUCUAAAACCGCCACCAACAGCCGACCGGACUCAUAUUGCCAAGAUGAAGUGUACCGUUGAGUUUACUUGUUGGAUUUUGUACUACCUGACAAUUUUACAGGCCUUACUUCUUACUUUUGCACAUGCAGGUAAAUUGAUUAACUUUUCGAAACAAAAAAAA
RNAcentral lists this long non-coding RNA (448 nucleotides) under Octopus vulgaris (common octopus). Lineage: Eukaryota; Metazoa; Mollusca; Cephalopoda; Octopoda; Octopodidae. The record is from RNAcentral.